Aedes albopictus (Asian tiger mosquito) is the source of this 550-nucleotide long non-coding RNA. RefSeq lists it as uncharacterized. Lineage: Eukaryota; Metazoa; Arthropoda; Insecta; Diptera; Culicidae. The transcript has 2 exons. The record is from RefSeq and is a predicted model, not a curated record.
GUUAUUAAUAAUGUAUCAUUUUCUUUCAAAAAUAUGAGUUAUUAGUAAAAUCGGACCAACUGAAUAUUAUCAUGGUUGGUCCAGCCUAUGAUUUUGGUUGGACCAAGCCGUAACCAUGUUGGUUGCUAGGACCAGCUUAGUAUGUGUACAGUUUUCUUUGCGCGUUGACAGUAGGCACCUUACCAAUUUUGGGAUCUCAAUUAUUAUCUCCAAAAAUAAUCUAAAGUCACUGAAUCAGGAAUUUGCUACGUAACGAGAUGCUCACAUGGAUUUGGGAGACUCCGGGUAUUGUGCGCUUCGCAGAUCAAGCUUAAGGAGCACUCGUUUUCGUCCUAUUGAGGAAUAUUGGAUUUACGGAUGAUUUCCAAAAUGCCCAGCUGUGGAUUGGGCACCAAGCGUAAUAUGCCAGCUUUCCCACUUCCUCUAAAGUUGAUUUUUGAAUAGGCCCUUCACUUCAAACUUUGCUCAGGUCACGCAGCCACACACCGAUUACUACUUUACUUGAUGUGACUUUCGAUCGAUAGCGCUAAAAAAUGUGUUGAUAUUGCUA